AUGGCCACGUCACCCGAGGAUCAUCAGACGUGUAAACGGUGGUCAUACACACGGAAUUCUUUCCCAUAAUCCUUUGACAUUCUAGUUUGCAUUCCAAAAGUUCCUGCAGCUGAUUGGAUAAGCCACCUUUAUAAGGCAGGCACUGGAUGGUCUGGAAGUAUACUGUGUGUGUGUAAGUCACAGAGGGUACAACUAUACUGUAGUUCUCUGUUUUCACAUGUUCACUGUAAUAGUCUUGUAUUGAAGGAAAGUUCAAGGAUUUUUUUCCAAAACAGAACUAAAAUGUCAGGAUUGACAACCAUCACAACUGCUGAUGUCAGUAAAGAAGGAAAUAAAAGAAGAUGAAGAGUUUGAUGAUUUCCUGCAAGAGUAUCUGUUUGCAAAUCAGACAGUGGAAGAAAAGCCUGGACUGGAACAUGACUGUAAGACUGAAACAGAAAGUUCACCAACCUUGGCCUGCAAAGAAGAAAAGUUCUCACUGAUGGGAUUUAAAGAGGAAGAUGAAUCUGAUUUAAGUGAAUAUGGUCGUGAUGACUCUUCUCCUACAAGAGAUGUUCAAAGGAUCCAUUCUAACAGAGGAAGUAACAGUGAGGAGAAAAGAAACAAAGAGAGACGUCACAAUCACUCCCAGUGCAGGACGACUUCACACCAGAAUCAAAAUCAACAUUUGGACACAAGGAAGAAACAACAUGAAUGCUCCCAGUGAUUCAAAUUCUUUCCUGGACAUUCCGCUCUUGCAAUUCAUCAACGAAUACACACAGGAGAAAAGCCACAUCAGUGUUCUUCGUGUGGAAAGACUUUUACUCAAAUAGGUCAUCUCAAGAGACAUCAGAAGAUCCAUAUUGGGGAAAAGCCAUAUCAGUGUUCUCAGUGUGGAAAGACCUUUGGUCAGAUGUGUGAUCUCAAGACACAUCAGAGGAUUCAAGCUGGGGAAAAGCCACAUCAGUGUUCUCAGUGUGGAAAGG
This is a long non-coding RNA of Clupea harengus (Atlantic herring), 965 nucleotides long. The record is from Ensembl. Lineage: Eukaryota; Metazoa; Chordata; Actinopteri; Clupeiformes; Clupeidae.